GGAGAUGUGGCCGAGUGGUUGAAGGCAGCAGUUUCGAAAACUGCCAUACGGGAAACCGUAUCGGAGGUUCGAAUCCUCCCAUCUCCG
RNAcentral lists this transfer RNA (87 nucleotides) under Candidatus Moraniibacteriota bacterium. Its description in RNAcentral is "tRNA-Ser". It matches the Rfam family "tRNA". Rfam says of the family: Transfer RNA (tRNA) molecules are approximately 80 nucleotides in length. Their secondary structure includes four short double-helical elements and three loops (D, anti-codon, and T loops). Lineage: Bacteria; Candidatus Moraniibacteriota. The record is from RNAcentral.